AUACGGAGGGUGCAAGCGUUAAUCGGAAUUACUGGGCGUAAAGCGUACGUAGGAGGUUAGUUAAGUUAGAUGUGAAAGCCCCGGGCUUAACCUGGGAACUGCAUUUAAAACUGGCUAACUAGAGUUAAGUAGAGGGGAGUGGAAUUUCAGGUGUAGCGGUGAAAUGCGUAGAGAUCUGAAGGAACACCAGUGGCGAAGGCGACUCCCUGGACUUGAACUGACGCUGAGGUACGAAAGCGUGGGUAGCAAACGGGAGUAGAAACCCCAGUAGUCC
Molecule: ribosomal RNA, 274 nt
Filed under: uncultured bacterium
Lineage: Bacteria
Description: partial 16S ribosomal RNA
Rfam family: Bacterial small subunit ribosomal RNA
Source: RNAcentral